ACUUCGGUCUUUCAUUUUGUUAACUUUGUGUAUAAAGAUUGUGACUAUUUUGUAGAAUUUUCUGCGGACUGAAGCUUGCCAAACAACUCCAAGACAGAAAAAGAGGAAGCAAAACAUGAGGAAGAAGGAAUGCAUGAGUUGGAAAAUAACUGACAGCCCUCAAUGUACAAUGACUGUCCUGCGUGCUCCAGGCUAACUCAAUUCUUCUUCCCUCUGGCCAGAAUGCAUGCCACUGGAGAAACAAUUUAUUUCCCGAAACCACGCUGCCUUCAGCAAUUUCAAAUAGCUUUAAAUUAUGUGAAGUUAAACAAAGGUCUUAAAAUUUACAAGAAGUUCUCCAUUUGCUGUGUGCAUUUCUCUAAGGAAAUUAUUGCUUUUUCAUCUGCCAUUCAUCUCAUCCACAUAGGAACAAAGUGGAUUUUCAGACCCUUGGCCCAGACUUGGAGGCAGAGGAGCCCGUACGUUCAGAUGAAUGGUAAUGAGCAUUGUCAGAGAGGCAGGAAAAUUGAGUCCCCGGCUCUGGCUGCUGGGCUGAGAGCUGCAGGAGCUAAUUGUGUCAAUGGUAAUGAGACCGAGCAGGCAGCAGAUGCUCACGUGCCUUUACAAUCCAAAUCCCACCAACAAAUUCCUCCCACAGAAACUUUGAGGGACGUCUUGGCACCCUGGAGAUGGUGA
RNAcentral lists this long non-coding RNA (675 nucleotides) under Anser brachyrhynchus (Pink-footed goose). RNAcentral describes it as "lncRNA (ENSABRG00000012640.1)". Lineage: Eukaryota; Metazoa; Chordata; Aves; Anseriformes; Anatidae. The record is from RNAcentral.